AAUUAAUUGGAGAGUCAGUAGCAGUAUUAUUAUUAUAGCUACUGACUUUCUAAUUGAUUUA
Molecule: microRNA precursor, 61 nt
Filed under: Acyrthosiphon pisum (pea aphid)
Lineage: Eukaryota; Metazoa; Arthropoda; Insecta; Hemiptera; Aphididae
Description: microRNA api-mir-3019 precursor
Source: miRBase by way of RNAcentral